Molecule: ribosomal RNA, 787 nt
Filed under: uncultured Mycobacterium sp.
Lineage: Bacteria; Bacillati; Actinomycetota; Actinomycetes; Mycobacteriales; Mycobacteriaceae
Description: bacterial SSU rRNA
Rfam family: Bacterial small subunit ribosomal RNA
Source: RNAcentral
GCGUAAAGAGCUCGUAGGUGGUUUGUCGCGUUGUUCGUGAAAUCUCACGGCUUAACUGUGAGCGUGCGGGCGAUACGGGCAGACUUGAGUACUGCAGGGGAGACUGGAAUUCCUGGUGUAGCGGUGGAAUGCGCAGAUAUCAGGAGGAACACCGGUGGCGAAGGCGGGUCUCUGGGCAGUAACUGACGCUGAGGAGCGAAAGCGUGGGGAGCGAACAGGAUUAGAUACCCUGGUAGUCCACGCCGUAAACGGUGGGUACUAGGUGUGGGUUUCCUUCCUUGGGAUCCGUGCCGUAGCUAACGCAUUAAGUACCCCGCCUGGGGAGUACGGCCGCAAGGCUAAAACUCAAAGAAAUUGACGGGGGCCCGCACAAGCGGCGGAGCAUGUGGAUUAAUUCGAUGCAACGCGAAGAACCUUACCUGGGUUUGACAUGCACAGGACGCCGGCAGAGAUGUCGGUUCCCUUGUGGCCUGUGUGCAGGUGGUGCAUGGCUGUCGUCAGCUCGUGUCGUGAGAUGUUGGGUUAAGUCCCGCAACGAGCGCAACCCUUGUCUCAUGUUGCCAGCGGGUAAUGCCGGGGACUCGUGAGAGACUGCCGGGGUCAACUCGGAGGAAGGUGGGGAUGACGUCAAGUCAUCAUGCCCCUUAUGUCCAGGGCUUCACACAUGCUACAAUGGCCGGUACAAAGGGCUGCGAUGCCGCGAGGUUAAGCGAAUCCUUUUAAAGCCGGUCUCAGUUCGGAUCGGGGUCUGCAACUCGACCCCGUGAAGUCGGAGUCGCUAGUAAUC